This is a long non-coding RNA of Cyprinus carpio (common carp), 978 nucleotides long. RefSeq lists it as uncharacterized. The transcript is spliced from 3 exons. NCBI's taxonomy places the organism in Eukaryota, Metazoa, Chordata, Actinopteri, Cypriniformes, Cyprinidae. The record is from RefSeq and is a predicted model, not a curated record.
ACAUUUUUUUUUUGCUAAAACAAGUUGCAAAAGAACUCUGCUCAUAUUCUUAAAUGAAAGCUCAUGUGAUGCAAAAUGCUUGCCACAGUCAGCAAUAUUUGAACACAAUGAACACACCUGGCGUCAUUCAUUACACACAACGACUCAAAAUUGAAGACACUUGUUGCUAAUGCUGUGACCACAUGUAUAAAAGCAAGUUCAGAGUGCACAGUUUGCUGAAGAUUCCAAACAAACACAAUGGAUGAAGGCAGAGUCAGGGGAAGAGGAAUUCGAGUCAGAGGAGGAAGAAGAGCUGGCCAUGGAAGAAGAGGAGCAGGCCAACGAAGAAGAGGAGUUCAAAUCAGAGGAGGAAGAGGAGCAGGCCAACAAGGGAGAGGAGAAGGUCCAGGAGGGAGAGCAAGACAACCUCGCACCAUCAUUAUGGACGAGAUGCGAGCAACAGUCACUGACCAUGUCAUUGUCCAUGGCAUGACAAUGGCUGAAGCAGGACUAUGAGACGUCCAAACCUGAGUAGGUUUACCGUGGCCACCAUUAUCAGGGCAUUCAGACAACACAACAGAGUUGAAAGAAUGCCACAUAGAGGUGGGAGGGUUACCAUAUUUACAGCAGCACAAGAAACCCUCAUUGUGGAUAUGGUUCGUGAGAACAACCUCAUCAGACUCCGGGAGAUCAGAGAAAAAGUCAUUGCCGAUAAUGUCAACUUUGAGAGCAUUGAUGUCAGCUUGGCCACAAUAGACAGAGUUCUCCGGCGCCAGAAGAUGCGGAUGAAACAGGUCUAUAGGGUUCCCUUUGAGCGCAACACUGCCUGACACAAAGACCUACGUUACGAGUAUGUGCAUAGGAUAUUACAGUUGGACGCGAUGGCCAGACCUCAUGAGUACCUCUUCCUGGAUGAGGCUGGCUUCAACCUGCAGAAACGAAGGCAAAGAAGCCGUAACAUCAUUGGCCAAAGAGCCAUCACUGAGGUUCCUGGCCAAC